Molecule: ribosomal RNA, 460 nt
Filed under: uncultured bacterium
Lineage: Bacteria
Description: partial 16S ribosomal RNA
Rfam family: Bacterial small subunit ribosomal RNA
Source: RNAcentral
CCUACGGGAGGCUGCAGUGAGGAAUAUUGGUCAAUGGCCGUAAGGCUGAACCAGCCAAGUAGCGUGAGGGAAGACUGCCCUAUGGGUUGUAAACCUCUUUUAUGCGGGGAUAAAGGUGUCCACGUGUGGAUGUUUGCAGGUACCGCAUGAAUAAGGACCGGCUAAUUCCGUGCCAGCAGCCGCGGUAAUACGGAAGGUCCGGGCGUUAUCCGGAUUUAUUGGGUUUAAAGGGAGCGUAGGCCGGUCUUUAAGCGUGCCGGGAAAUUUUGUGGCUCAACCAUGAGAGUGCGGCGCGAAAUGGAGACCUUGAGUGCGCGGAAGGCAGGCGGAAUUCGUGGUGUAGCGGUGAAAUGCUUAGAUAUCACGAAGAACCCCGAUUGCGAAGGCAGCCUGCCGCAGCGUUACUGACGCUGAAGCUCGAAAGCGCGGGUAUCGAACAGGAUUAGAUACCCCUGUAGUC